AUACAAUGUUCCAGCUAAGUAGGUGUCCCGCGAUCAAGAAAAAGGUUUUGAGGCCGCGUUAGAACAAGGAGCACAUCGAAGAAGAGGAGGUAUCCAUCGACAGCAUAGAGUACAUGAAGCGUACUACGCAAAUUUCGCCCGAAACUUCGGAGACACUCAUGAACCGCUGGGGGAACGAAAAGCGAACGACGCUAAAGAGAGAUGCGACAGGCAGGGAACAGAUAGAAACAGAACGCUCACAUAAAGUCGAGGAGGCGUGGUGUCCUCGUUCGAGACCGAUGGCCUGGCAGCAUCCACCGCUAUCAGUCGUGAGCGCCCUACAUGCCUCAAGGCCCCAUCAGAGCUCCAACGCACCCCUGCUCAGAACAGGAAACACGGCGACGAUGAGCAGCAAGCUGUACAGAUGCGUGGCCUCGUGAACCUGCAAUCCAGUGCACUCAGCAACGGCAGGAGCCCAAGGAGAGCGAAGCGUUGCACCAGCGCCUCCGUGAGACCCGAGGCGAAGCCCGACGCCCAUGUGGAAACCGACACCCCGUCCCGGGGCACGGGAUCGGAAACGUCCGAGUUACGCCCACAGUCGUGACUUCUCCUCCCGCGCCUGCCAUCUUCGCUGAAGCGGAAGCGAACGAGUAUGGGGAUAGAAGAACACGCAAGCGAGCGAGCGAGCGACCGGAGACGAAGGGAGUCGCAGAUGGCUGACCCGCAUCGUCGCAAGUGGAUGGAACCUGCGCGCACAAUACUCAUGAGCUGGCACGGCACCUCGAGUCGCGUGAUGCUCGUCGGCAGCUUCGAUGGGAAGCGUACGCGAAAAACGAAGAGCGUGCGAGGGAGCGGAUUCCGAGUACUCGAAUCGAGCAGCGAGCGUUUACGCGCCCAGCAGUGAGGGUGCUUGCCGCGGGGAUCGCCCAGCCCGAGCCUGUGAUCGCAGGGUAUGGCGCUGGGCACAGAAACUGAAGAGCGCAUGGAGCGGAGCGCUCUGCACCCGUCGAGGGCGUGUACCGAGCGACACUGCAAGCAGGCAUGCGCCACAGGGCGGCACUCGGAGCAAGACGUGCGAUGGACGUAUGGCGGCACCGGACAACGGGCAAGUGUCCUCGCUGCGAAGGGUGCACCGGAGUUGUGGACAAAAAGGAUGAAAAUGCUAAAAGAAGCGCAGAUCACAACUUCCGCCUUUGCAUGAAGUACGUCGAUGAGGGCUGGAAGCAGGAAACUCUGGGUUCGAAUGAACGCAGCCAUCGGCAUCCUUCGCCUGCUGACAUCGAAGCUGGAGGGCUAGGAGACGCCAGCGUAUUGAAAGUCGGAGAUACGGGAAAGGAGAAGGAAGCGGUCGCGGUGCAAACUGCAAUGACUUGUGCUGAUGGUCGUGCAAAAUAGGUCCAGAAUAUAGUGCGAGUACGUCCGACUUUCCUCACGGGGUCUAUUCUAUCUUUGACUGAUAUAGGCGGAAGCUGCGCGCCCGCUGCAGCAUCGGCGAGGUUGCUGGCUCGAGCGCACCCACCGAUUUUGUGGUGACGCGCGACGCCUCGGAAGGCACGAUCGCUUUUCGAGCGUCGAGCUCACAGCAGCGGCGUGCAGGCGCAGAGCUCCCGCGAUCGGCAACAGCUCCAUGUGCGCUGUAAAAUGCCCGGAGAUUCUCGCUAGAAGCCCUCGGGUUGUG
This 1657-nucleotide unclassified non-coding RNA is filed under the name Cyanidioschyzon merolae strain 10D. Its description in RNAcentral is "hypothetical transcript". Lineage: Eukaryota; Rhodophyta; Bangiophyceae; Cyanidiales; Cyanidiaceae. The record is from RNAcentral.